Molecule: ribosomal RNA, 592 nt
Filed under: Nocardioidaceae bacterium
Lineage: Bacteria; Bacillati; Actinomycetota; Actinomycetes; Propionibacteriales; Nocardioidaceae
Description: bacterial SSU rRNA
Rfam family: Bacterial small subunit ribosomal RNA
Source: RNAcentral
UCAGCUUGAUGGUGAGGUAAUGGCUCACCAUGGCUUCGACGGGUAGCCGGCCUGAGAGGGUGACCGGUCACACUGGGACUGAGACACGGCCCAGACUCCUACGGGAGGCAGCAGUGGGGAAUAUUGGACAAUGGGCGGAAGCCUGAUCCAGCAACGCCGCGUGAGGGAUGACGGCCUUCGGGUUGUAAACCUCUUUCGGUGGGGACGAAGCGCAAGUGACGGUACCCACUAAAGAAGCACCGGCCAACUACGUGCCAGCAGCCGCGGUAAUACGUAGGGUGCGAGCGUUGUCCGGAAUUAUUGGGCGUAAAGGGCUCGUAGGCGGUUUGUCGCGUCGGGAGUGAAAACCAGGUGCUUAACACCUGGCUUGCUUUCGAUACGGGCAGACUAGAGGUAUUCAGGGGAGAACGGAAUUCCUGGUGUAGCGGUGAAAUGCGCAGAUAUCAGGAGGAACACCGGUGGCGAAGGCGGUUCUCUGGGAAUGACCUGACGCUGAGGAGCGAAAGUGUGGGGAGCGAACAGGAUUAGAUACCCUGGUAGUCCACACCGUAAACGUUGGGCGCUAGGUGUGGGGUCCAUUCCACGGAUUCCG